Molecule: non-coding RNA, 913 nt
Organism: Drosophila melanogaster (fruit fly)
Lineage: Eukaryota; Metazoa; Arthropoda; Insecta; Diptera; Drosophilidae
Source: Ensembl
UGUUUGUGUCGCCCCGCUGUCGCUUAAACGUCGCCCCAGGAAAAUCGCUGGGGGGGCGGCGGAUAGGGACGGGGCGUGGCCGAAAUACAAAUGGAGUAAUUCUUCUGGGCAUAUGUGCGACUCUUUGCGGUGAUUAUCUCCGCGGCCUGCCGGAUAUUUUGACUCCAGCAAGCGGAAAAUUCGCCAUCAGAUAAUUGAUAAAGAAGGCGGAAAGAUGUUAGGAUGCGAAAACAGAAGAGGGCAGCCGGCGGCAAUGAGCUGACUUAUGAACAUCGACCAGGGCAUGGUCUGCAAUUGUGCAGCGUGACAGGCAAAUUGCCGGGAUACACACCUAGCCACAGACAAUGUGGGGUCCUUCACUCCUCUGCUCGCGUGUUAAACUUAGCUGAAUGGACUUCACUCCACUACACCCAGCCGCAUACAUCCGACUCGACGCCGCACAUUGCUACAUAACUAGGCCAAAAUAGCUGGGAUGGGGAUUCGAGGAUACGAAUGAGGAUGAGUACUGAGUGGGGUUCACAAAAGGGCUGGGACUGGCCUGUGCGACCAUGACUAAUUUGUUAGCAAUUAUGUUGGAUUGACGUCCCGGAUUGGGCCACAUUAGCAUAAUUGUUGUUAUGAGAUCGCCCAGGAGUCCACCAGCACAACCGACAUUUUGAUAUGGGGGCAUGGGCACGGGCAUGGGAAUGGAAGUUGUUCCUACAUGCAGUGCACUUGACAUUCAUUAACAUGGCACUCGGAGCAUCAUUAGAGGGUGGCCAAAACAACGAGGCUGCAAUGUGAGACGAGGCGAAAAAUAACCAGUGAGGUCCUUAAAGGAACUACUUACAAGCUGCUUGUUUCGCAUUCACUUUAUGGAUCAUUUCCUCAAGGAAUAUUAAUUACUUGAAUUUGAUUAAUAAUAUGUUUAAAC